UACGAAGGGUGCAAGCGUUAAUCGGAAUUACUGGGCGUAAAGCGUGCGCAGGCGGUUUUGUAAGCCAGAUGUGAAAUCCCCGGGCUUAACCUGGGAAUGGCAUUUGGGACUGCAAGGCUUGAGUGCGGCAGAGGAGACUGGAAUUCCUGGUGUAGCAGUGAAAUGCGUAGAUAUCAGGAGGAACACCGAUGGCGAAGGCAGGUCUCUGGGCUGACACUGACGCUCAUGCACGAAAGCGUGGGGAGCAAACAGG
This 253-nucleotide ribosomal RNA is filed under the name uncultured bacterium. RNAcentral describes it as "partial 16S ribosomal RNA". It matches the Rfam family "Bacterial small subunit ribosomal RNA", at positions 524 to 776 of the family's 1533-position model. The record is from RNAcentral.